Molecule: ribosomal RNA, 61 nt
Filed under: Phyllactinia moricola
Lineage: Eukaryota; Fungi; Ascomycota; Leotiomycetes; Helotiales; Erysiphaceae
Also listed under: 1 other name
Description: partial 28S ribosomal RNA
Rfam family: Eukaryotic large subunit ribosomal RNA
Source: RNAcentral
UUGACCUCGAAUCAGGUAGGGAUACCCGCUGAACUUAAGCAUAUCAAUAAGCGGAGGAAAA